Molecule: long non-coding RNA, 1296 nt
Organism: Rhinichthys klamathensis goyatoka
Lineage: Eukaryota; Metazoa; Chordata; Actinopteri; Cypriniformes; Leuciscidae
Exons: 2
Source: RefSeq, a predicted model, not a curated record
UAUGUAAAAAAGCAUUUUUUUAGACACUUCAUUCAUUAAGCAGCCCAACAGGUUCAGUACCAAGGCUAUCUGAGCCUAAGACCCAAAGUGGCAACGCAAGCAGCCAGCCACUAAACGAGCUCCAGUGGUGGAUGCCAUUCCAGUGAUCUUCACCCCAUUUGCCUUCGUGGAUUGAAAGAGCUCGAUGCCACCUCAGUCACACAUCUCGCCCUGAAGCAAACAGGGAUUCACACGGCUUAGUAAUAGCGACUCCCACAGACCAUCUAUAGUUGAGUUGAUCUUUUGUUGUAGAUAGUUUACAAGAUAAAUGUAUUUUAUGGUGAACGUUAUGACAUUAUAUGCUGAGCCCCAUCAAUUCCUGUUUGUAAAACCGCAGAAUAACAAUUUAUAAGUAUUUCUAAAUGUUAGCAGCAUGCAUAAACAUUUUUUCACUAAAACAGAUGACAUUUACACUACAGUAUAUUUAUCUUGGUUUAUUUUCAAAGCGAUGAACAGAGAAUUAAGGAGACUCUGUGGAUUUGCUUGGGUAUGUCAACUCCAGGAUUUCUGCACUAAGGAUUAUGACAUUUUAGGCCAAUUUAUUUUUAGUGGUUACCUGCCAUAUAUUUAUAUGGUAAAACAUUUAAUCUCGUUCUAGCCAUUUUGGAAGAAAACUUCCUUACGACAAAAUAUGGAGCUAAGAAUAUCAUGCAAACAAUAACAUGAAUACAGUCUCCACAGAGUUCAUACCAGCUCUUAUGUGAAUCCACUGCAUUUAUUCUGGCGGUACCUAUGUAUCAUUUUGCCUAUGUAUUUCAACCAAGGGUACCACAGUACAUCAAUAUAUUGGGCAAUUACUACCUUCAUUUUUUUGACAGUUCACACUGGAAUUCAUGGGAGUAGAGGUGAGAUAUAGGCAAGUCUACAAAAAGAGAUAGAUGGGCAAUUUAUUCAUUGAAACCACUAUGACAGAAACAUUAAAGUUAUUGAUCUGACAAUAAAGUCUUAACGAAAACACGACUGGUUAGCAGUUUCAAAUGAAAGUUAAACAGAUUCCUGAGCGAGCUUAUUUACUUGCAUUAACACCCACCUUUUUAUAUGGAGCCUCGAGCAUUGCUUCGAUGUCCAAAUCAUCGGCCAUGUUGUUGUUGUUGAUCUACACUGCGGCCUACAGAGCUUUACAAUCCUGACUCCACAAACGAGCGCUAAAACCCGGAUCUACGGUCGGCUCCGGCUACAGUUGCAAACCCCAGGCGUUUAACACGAAUCCACACAAACCUAAAAAACACAACGGUAUUAAUCCAAAACGUUAUCGUU